UCCUUAAGCAAAAAGAAUGAGGCACAACAUAGGAGCAACAAGCCAUUCCAAAACCAACUUUGACUACAUAAGCUUCCCAAGUAAUCAUCACUGCCAGACAAAUUGAAAAUACCACUGCUCAUCAGCUAUGAAGGAGAAGGUGACCAUAUAAGUCACCUCGACAAAUACAUAUCAUGGAUGCUGGAUUGGAUCAUUGGUUAAAGCAAAAUUUUGUAACGUACUAGGGUAUCCCAUUAGUAGGCUCGCCCUUGACGACAAAGCUCAAAGGUGGUUCAAGAAAUUAUCGCAGAGGUUGGUAAGAAGUUGGAAUGAUGUGGCCACCGUCUUCCUAGCACAAUUUACACGUCAAAGGCUUGAACUAAGUCGAAAGAAUUUCUGGUUAGUAUCAAGCAAUGAUGAAGUAAGUCCUUGAAGAGUUACUCAACCAGCAAAUUAUGGAGGUCGAGAAUAUCUUCGAUGAUGCAGCUUUGAUGGCUAUCAUAUCAGGGCUUAGGUCUAGGAUGAGAUCCUUAC
This 513-nucleotide long non-coding RNA is filed under the name Olea europaea (common olive). Its description in RNAcentral is "long non-coding RNA (OEUR_LNC001662)". The record is from RNAcentral. Lineage: Eukaryota; Viridiplantae; Streptophyta; Magnoliopsida; Lamiales; Oleaceae.